UACGUAGGGGGCAAGCGUUGUCCGGAUUUACUGGGCGUAAAGGGCGCGUAGGCGGGCAUUCAAGUCAGGGGUGAAAUCCCCCAGCUCAACUGGGGAACUGCCUUUGAUACUGGGUGCCUCGAGUAAGGUAGGGGCAUGCGGAACUGAUGGUGGAGCGGUGAAAUGUGUUGAUAUCAUCAGGAACUCCGGUGGCGAAGGCGGCAUGCUGGACCUUCACUGACGCUGAGGCGCGAAAGCUAGGGGAGCGAACGGG
This 253-nucleotide ribosomal RNA is filed under the name uncultured bacterium. RNAcentral describes it as "partial 16S ribosomal RNA". It matches the Rfam family "Bacterial small subunit ribosomal RNA", at positions 524 to 776 of the family's 1533-position model. The record is from RNAcentral.